Molecule: ribosomal RNA, 407 nt
Filed under: uncultured bacterium
Lineage: Bacteria
Description: partial 16S ribosomal RNA
Rfam family: Bacterial small subunit ribosomal RNA
Source: RNAcentral
GACGAACGCUGGCGGCGUGCCUAAUACAUGCAAGUAGGACGCAGUUGCGAACGGGUGAGUAACGCGUAGGUAACUGCCUGUUAGAGGGGGCUAACUAUUGGAAACGAUAGCUAAUACCGCAUACUAGUAGAUGGACCUGCGGUGUAUUAGCUAGUAGGUAGGGUAAUGGCCUCCCUAGGCAACGGUACAUAGCCGACCUUGAAGGGUGAUCGGCCCAACUGGGACUUGGACACGGGCCAGGCUCCUACUGGAGGCAACAGUAGGGAAACUUUGGCAAUGGGGGGAACCCUGACCGAGGAACUCCGGGUGGGAGAAAGAAGUCUUCGGAUCGUAAAGCUCUGUUGUUAAGGAAGCGUUACUUGACGAGAAAGGACCGGCUAACUACGUGCCAGCAGCCGCGGUAAUUC